RNAcentral lists this small RNA (568 nucleotides) under Pan troglodytes (chimpanzee). RNAcentral's name for it is "processed transcript". Lineage: Eukaryota; Metazoa; Chordata; Mammalia; Primates; Hominidae. The record is from RNAcentral.
AGAUGCUGGCAUCUCCUCUCUGGAUUGUCAUUGCCUGCUUUCGUGUCAGGCUCAGCCCUUGCACCGUGAGCUCCCAGAGGGAAGAGGGGGAUCUCUUGCCUGUCUCCAUCCCCUGGGCCUGGCAGGUGGUAAAUGCUUCUGAAGAGAUGAGGAAAGGGCCCAGAGAGCUGCAGCGCAGCUUCCUGCCUGCAGAGGGGGUGAGAGGCCACACUGCAGCCGUCUGCCUGGAGCCCACGGACAGAGCUUUAGUUCUUUCGAGAUGGCCGAGGAAAGGGGAAGGAAGGAUCUGGCUUUGCUGCCCACGCUGGAGUGUGGUGGUGUGAUCACAGCUCACUGCAACCUCUGCUCUGCCUCCCAGGUUCGACUGAUCCUCCUGCUUCAGCCUCCUGAGUAGCUGGGACUACAGAUGUAGAUGAGUGUGCCCAAGGGCUAGAUGACUGCCAUGCCGACGCCCUGUGUCAGAACACACCCACCUCCUACAAGUGCUCCUGCAAGCCUGGCUACCAAGGGGAAGGCAGGCAGUGUGAGGACAUCGAUGAAUGUGGAAAUGAGCUCAAUGGAGGCUGUG